CGCGGCCUAUCAGCUAGUUGGUGAGGUAACGGCCCACCAAGGCGACGACGGGUAGCCGGCCUGAGAGGGUGACCGGCCACACUGGGACUGAGACACGGCCCAGACUCCUACGGGAGGCAGCAGUGGGGAAUAUUGCACAAUGGGCGCAAGCCUGAUGCAGCAACGCCGCGUGAGGGACGACGGCCUUCGGGUUGUAAACCUCUUUUAGUAGGGAAGAAGCGAAAGUGACGGUACCUGCAGAAAAAGCACCGGCUAACUACGUGCCAGCAGCCGCGGUAAUACGUAGGGUGCAAGCGUUAUCCGGAAUUAUUGGGCGUAAAGAGCUCGUAGGCGGUUUGUCGCGUCUGCUGUGAAAACUGGAGGCUCAACCUCCAGCCUGCAGUGGGUACGGGCAAACUAGAGUGCGGUAGGGGAGAUUGGAAUUCCUGGUGUAGCGGUGGAAUGCGCAGAUAUCAGGAGGAACMCCGAUGGCGAAGGCAGAUCUCUGGGCCGUAACUGACGCUGAGGAGCGAAAGCAUGGGGAGCGAACAGGAUUAGAUACCCUGGU
This 547-nucleotide ribosomal RNA is filed under the name bacterium Ellin6501. RNAcentral's name for it is "bacterial SSU rRNA". It matches the Rfam family "Bacterial small subunit ribosomal RNA", at positions 232 to 791 of the family's 1533-position model. The record is from RNAcentral.